RNAcentral lists this long non-coding RNA (1947 nucleotides) under Mus musculus (house mouse). Its description in RNAcentral is "long non-coding RNA chr8:83586319-83588266". Lineage: Eukaryota; Metazoa; Chordata; Mammalia; Rodentia; Muridae. The record is from RNAcentral.
UUUUUUUUUUUAAUGUUUUUAUUUUAAAGAAAAGUGUCUAAUGGUGGCAUGUGCCUUUAGUCCCAGCACUGGGGAGAGAGAGUAGGUGAGAUGGAGGCCAGCCUAGUCUACUACAGAUCGAGUUCCAGAACAGCCAGGGCUACACAGAGAAACCCUAUCUCAAAACAGGGCCCCUCCAAAAAAAGAAAAAAAAGAAAGAAGAAAAAGAAAAAAAAAGAAAAAGGGUUUAGUUCAGGUCUCAGCAAGUAAAGGCACUCUAGACACGCCCAGCAGCCUUAGUCCUCUGAGCUCCACAUGUGAGCCAUCACACACACACACACACACACACACAUACACACACAGACUCACAAUAACAGUAAACUAGUAAUUCUAAGUCCUGAGGAGGCGGCUGAAGAGAUGGCUCAGCAGUUCAGAACACCUGCUGGCCCUGCACAGGACCCAGGUCCAAUUCACAGCGCACACAUGAGAGCUCACAACCGCCUGUAACUCCAGUCCCAGAUGAUCCAAGCCCUCUUCUGGCCUCCACAGACACCAAACACACAUGUGGUGUACAUUCAGACAUGCAGGCAAGACACUCAUAUACAUAGUUACCAGCUGACCAGUUUAUGUCUUAAAAGGACAAGGUACAGCUAGGAUGGGAGAACCUUCACGGCUGCUCCAGGCCCUGAGUUUGCUCCCCAACAUCACAAAGGAGGGGGGGCCACAGGUAGGCUACACUCCCCGCAGCAGACAGGGAUGCAGACUUGCCUCUACCUGAUGAUUCAGAGCGGAGAACUUAGCUACCGUCAGGCACAGUGCCCAGUACCUCAGCCUCCCAGGCAGCCCCGAAGAAUGCUAUCCAUAUCCUGGCCUCCUACCUGAGAAAAAUCUAAACGGAAAAGUGGCCCCAAAGGCCAUGUCCUGCACAGUCACAUAACCACCCCUCCCUCCGUACGUAAUCACCAGGGCCUGUCUGGAUUCUGCUACCUGCCAGCUUACGGACAUGAAGUUCUACUGUUCUGUGCCUCUGUUUCCCCAAAUGUCAAGUGGCUAGGAACCAUACCUACUGCACAUGUAAGACCACAGGCAGGUAUGUGCAGACAACUGGGAUGGAGAACAGUAACGAAUGGCUCAGCAUGUGCCAGCCCCUGGGCUCAUCCCCAGUGACAAAGAAAAAAGCAAGCCAGGUACAGUGGUGCCAGCCUUUCAUCGCAGAACUCAGAAGACUGUGAGUUCAAGGCCAGCCUGGUUUAUACAGUGAGUUCCAGCUAGCCAGGGCUGAGUAGUGAGACCUUGUCUAUUACCAAAAAAAAGGGGGGGUGUGGGGAGCACAACACUAACGGCAACGAGCACACAGCUUUAUUAUGACUGUGAUGGCUAGCGACACUCUCAGAGCUGAGGUAAGUAUCCCCAGCUGUUAAAACAUUCUGGGCUGUCACUAUCAAUAGCACCAAGGUGUUAAGACCUGAACUUGACCAAACAGUUUUCCCACCCAGCCAGACCUGCCUGUCAAAGGGCAAGGCACUCAACCAAAGCCAACAAUGUUAUCAGAACUAGAAGUCUCUUUCUGGAUCAGCCCUGUGCACUGGCCAGUCUGUCCAGGCCACUCGUUCCUCUCUCCACUUGGGAGUCAGUGAAGCAAGGCUCUGUGGUGCUCUAUGGGCCUCUAAGUCGUCCCUAGCAAUAACUGACCUAACGUACACAUCGGGACCAUCAGCUUCUCCCAGGGUCCUUCAGUCUCAGCUUGCCUCCUCUGCGCUCAGUGUGUGCACCUAAUGCUCACCAGAGCACCAAAGCUUGGAAGAGACCACCCUGUAACACAAACAUGGCCAUCGCUGUUCAAGACCCAGAACUCGCCAGUCAGUUCACAACUAUAACUCCAACCACAGGGCAUCUGAUGCCACGCAGACAGUACACAGAUAUACACAUGCAGACAAAAGACCCAUACCUAUAUACAUAAAAUACAGU